GACUCGUCACACUAUCAUUAACUGAAUCCAUAGGUUAAUGAGGCGAACCGGGGGAACUGAAACAUCUAAGUACCCCGAGGAAAAGAAAUCAACCGAGAUUCCCCCAGUAGCGGCGAGCGAACGGGGAGGAGCCCAGAGCCUGAAUCAGCAUGUGUGUUAGUGGAAGCGUCUGGAAAGGCGCGCGAUACAGGGUGACAGCCCCGUACACAAAAGCGCAUGUGCUGUGAGCUCGAUGAGUAGGGCGGGACACGUGGUAUCCUGUCUGAAUAUGGGGGGACCAUCCUCCAAGGCUAAAUACUCCUGACUGACCGAUAGUGAACCAGUACCGUGAGGGAAAGGCGAAAAGAACCCCGGCGAGGGGAGUGAAAAAGAACCUGAAACCGUGUACGUACAAGCAGUGGGAGCACCCUUUGGGGUGUGACUGCGUACCUUUUGUAUAAUGGGUCAGCGACUUAUAUUCUGUAGCAAGGUUAACCGAAUAGGGGAGCCGGAG
This 493-nucleotide ribosomal RNA is filed under the name Salmonella enterica. RNAcentral's name for it is "partial 23S ribosomal RNA". It matches the Rfam family "Bacterial large subunit ribosomal RNA", at positions 137 to 671 of the family's 2925-position model. The record is from RNAcentral. Lineage: Bacteria; Pseudomonadati; Pseudomonadota; Gammaproteobacteria; Enterobacterales; Enterobacteriaceae.